AGCUAAAAUCUCCCAUUGCUGCAUUGAACAUGUACAUCAUGAUUGUGCCUACUGCAACAGACAGAGAAGUUUGUGCUUUCUACAUUUUACGCCAAAAUCUUAAAAGGGAAGUUCAUCUAUUUUUAACCUUAAGAUGUUACCAGAUUUUCUUUCAAAACUCUCUGGUUCCUUUCUUUACACAAUCCAGCAUAUGCAGGACGGAUUUGUGUCCCGAUGUUCUUUCUCUCAUUGUUUAGGACAUUUUAUUAAUACCAGCACUGCAUUAAUUCUUUUGCUGUUCUUGGCACUACCCCUCUUAUCAUUGAAUAUAGUCAGGAGUAACUGCCUAGAUGAAGCUAUUACGGGCAAUGUAUGAAAAGAUGAUUUGUAAUUUCUGCAUUCAGACAAAUGACAUCUGUUACAUAUAGUCAUUCCUCUUCUCUGUAGAUUAUCCUGGGUAAGGGGCAGCUUCAGGGUCCAACAUCAAGUGAAAAAGUGCCACUACCUGGUGCUUUGUUU
RNAcentral lists this unclassified non-coding RNA (498 nucleotides) under Hevea brasiliensis (rubber tree). The record is from RNAcentral. Lineage: Eukaryota; Viridiplantae; Streptophyta; Magnoliopsida; Malpighiales; Euphorbiaceae.